CCUACGGGUGGCAGCAGUGAGGAAUAUUGGUCAAUGGUCGGGAGACUGAACCAGCCAAGCCGCGUGAGGGAUGAAGGUACAGAGUAUCGUAAACCUCUUUUGUCAGGGAACAAAGGCGGGGACGUGUCCCCGGAUGAGUGUACCUGAAGAAAAAACAUCGGCUAACUCCGUGCCAGCAGCCGCGGUAAUACGGAGGCUGCGAGCGUUAUCCGGAGUUAGUGGGUUUAAGGGGUGCGCAGGCGGUCGUUUAAGUCAGCGGUAAACGCCCGGGGCGCAACCCCGGCCCGCCGUUGAAACUGGCAGUCUCGAGUUGGCGAGAAGUAUGCGGAAUGCGCGGUGUAGCGGUGAAAUGCAUAGAUAUCGCGCAGAACUCCGAUUGCGAAGGCAGCAUGCCGGCUCCACACUGACGCUGAGGCACGAAAGCGUGGGUAUCGAACAGGAUUAGAUAUCCGUGUAGUC
RNAcentral lists this ribosomal RNA (459 nucleotides) under uncultured bacterium. Its description in RNAcentral is "partial 16S ribosomal RNA". It matches the Rfam family "Bacterial small subunit ribosomal RNA", at positions 338 to 795 of the family's 1533-position model. The record is from RNAcentral.